CGAAAGCCUGACGGAGCAAGACCGCGUGAGGGAGGAAGGCUCUAGGGUUGUAAACCUCUUUUAUCAGGGAAGAAGCUCUGACGGUACCUGAGGAAUCAGCAUCGGCUAACUCCGUGCCAGCAGCCGCGGUAAUACGGAGGAUGCAAGCGUUAUCCGGAAUCAUUGGGCGUAAAGCGUCCGCAGGUGGGAGUCCAAGUCGAUUGUCAAAGGCAGUAGCUUAACUACUGAAAGGCAGUGGAAACUGAACAACUAGAGUGCGGUAGGGGUAGAGGGAAUUCCCGGUGUAGCGGUGAAAUGCGUAGAGAUCGGGAAGAACACCAGUGGCGAAAGCGCUCUGCUGGACCGGCACUGACACUGAGGGACGAAAGCUAGGGGAGCG
RNAcentral lists this ribosomal RNA (379 nucleotides) under uncultured cyanobacterium. RNAcentral describes it as "bacterial SSU rRNA". It matches the Rfam family "Bacterial small subunit ribosomal RNA", at positions 376 to 770 of the family's 1533-position model. Lineage: Bacteria; Bacillati; Cyanobacteriota. The record is from RNAcentral.